GUAGUCCACGCCGUAAACGAUGAAUGCUAGGUGUUAGGGGUUUCGAUACCCUUGGUGCCGAAGUUAACACAUUAAGCAUUCCGCCUGGGGAGUACGGUCGCAAGACUGAAACUCAAAGGAAUUGACGGGGACCCGCACAAGCAGUGGAGUAUGUGGUUUAAUUCGAAGCAACGCGAAGAACCUUACCAGGUCUUGACAUCCCUUUGACCGGUGCAGAGAUGCAUCUUUCCUUCGGGACAGAGGAGACAGGUGGUGCAUGGUUGUCGUCAGCUCGUGUCGUGAGAUGUUGGGUUAAGUCCCGCAACGAGCGCAACCCUUGAUCUUAGUUGCCAGCAAUUCGGUUGGGCACU
Molecule: ribosomal RNA, 350 nt
Filed under: uncultured Paenibacillaceae bacterium
Lineage: Bacteria; Bacillati; Bacillota; Bacilli; Caryophanales; Paenibacillaceae
Description: bacterial SSU rRNA
Rfam family: Bacterial small subunit ribosomal RNA
Source: RNAcentral